This 693-nucleotide ribosomal RNA is filed under the name Leucoagaricus orientiflavus. RNAcentral describes it as "eukaryotic LSU rRNA". The stretch from base 325 to 478 matches the Rfam family "5.8S ribosomal RNA". The record is from RNAcentral. Lineage: Eukaryota; Fungi; Basidiomycota; Agaricomycetes; Agaricales; Agaricaceae.
GGAAGUAAAAGUCGUAACAAGGUUUCCGUAGGUGAACCUGCGGAAGGAUCAUUAUUGAAUACCACUCGAUAGGUUGUAGCUGGCUCUUUGGAGCAUGUGCACGCCUGUCUUGGACUUCUAUUCAUCCACCUGUGCACUAUUUGUAGUCUUUGGAGACUGAGAUGGAACAGCUUACCAGUCGGUCGACAGAUCGGAAUAGAGGAUUGCCUGAGGCUCUCUUUAACCCAACUGUGAAGUCUAUCUCCAGAGUCUAUGUUUUCAUUCAUAAACCAAGUAUGUUGUCGAAUGUAGUCAUUAGGCUAUGAUGCCUAUAAAAUGUUAUACAACUUUCAGCAACGGAUCUCUUGGCUCUCGCAUCGAUGAAGAACGCAGCGAAAUGCGAUAAGUAAUGUGAAUUGCAGAAUUCAGUGAAUCAUCGAAUCUUUGAACGCACCUUGCGCUCCUUGGUAUUCCGAGGAGCAUGCCUGUUUGAGUGUCAGUUUAUUAUCAACCCCUCCAGCUCUUGUAGUUGGUAUUGGUGGCUUGGAUAUGGAGGUUUUGCAGGCCCUUUUGAAGUGUCAGCUCCUCUGAAAUGCAUUAGCAGAACCGUUUGCGAUCUGUUAACUGGUGUGAUAAUUGUCUAUGCCAGUGGAUUGCUCUCUGCAUGUUCAGCUUCUAAUAGCUUCCUUAUAUGAACCUUUGACCUCAAAUCAG